ACUCAACACUAUUACAUUAAAGAGGAUGAGUCAAAUUUGUAAAAGCACGCCUUAACAGGAUUCUUGAUCAGUUUGUUAGUCCUAAACCUGUCAUAUGGAGUUU
This 103-nucleotide small RNA is filed under the name Flavobacteriaceae bacterium. RNAcentral's name for it is "6S RNA". It matches the Rfam family "6S-Flavo RNA". Lineage: Bacteria; Pseudomonadati; Bacteroidota; Flavobacteriia; Flavobacteriales; Flavobacteriaceae. The record is from RNAcentral.